RNAcentral lists this ribosomal RNA (492 nucleotides) under uncultured bacterium. RNAcentral describes it as "partial 16S ribosomal RNA". It matches the Rfam family "Bacterial small subunit ribosomal RNA", at positions 29 to 507 of the family's 1533-position model. The record is from RNAcentral.
AGUGAACGCUGGCGGUAGGCCUAACACAUGCAAGUCGAACGGCAGCACAGUAAGAGCUUGCUCUUACGGGUGGCGAGUGGCGGACGGGUGAGGAAUAUAUCGGAAUCUACUUUUUCGUGGGGGAUAACGUAGGGGAACUUACGCUAAUACCGCAUACGCCCUACGGGGGAAAGGAGUGGAUCUUCGGACCGUGCGCGGUUGAAUUAGCCGCUGUCGGAUUAGCUGGUUGGCGGGGUAAAGGCCCACGAAGUCGAGGAUCCGUAGCUCGACUGUGUGGAUGGUCACCGACACUGGAACUGAGACACGCACCAGACUCCUACGGGAGGCAGCAGUGGCGAAUAUUGGACAGAGGUCGCAAGCCUGAUCCAGUCAGACCGCGUCGGUGACGACGGCGUUCGGGUCGUAAUGCCCUUUUGUUGGGAAAGAACAGCAGUAGCUUAAUACCACGCUGUUCUGACGGUACCCAAAGAAUAAGCACCGGCUAACUUCGUG